UACGGAGGGUGCAAGCGUUAUCCGGAUUCACUGGGUUUACAGGGUGCGUAGGCGGGUAUAUAAGUCAGUGGUGAAAGCUCCGAGCUUAACUUGGAAACUGCCAUUGAUACUGUAUAUCUUGAAUGUCGUAGAGGUUAGCGGAAUGUUGCAUGUAGCGGUGAAAUGCUUAGAUAUGUUACAGAACACCAAUUGCGAAGGCAGCUAACUAUGCGAUGAUUGACGCUGAGGCACGAAAGCGUGGGGAGCAAACAGG
This 253-nucleotide ribosomal RNA is filed under the name uncultured bacterium. Its description in RNAcentral is "partial 16S ribosomal RNA". It matches the Rfam family "Bacterial small subunit ribosomal RNA", at positions 524 to 776 of the family's 1533-position model. The record is from RNAcentral.